GAUAAAUUUUUUAUGUUUUUAAUAAUUUAUUAUAAGUUUAUUUUACAUAUAAAUUAUAGUAUUAAAUUUUAAUUAUUUUAAUAAUAAUUAAUAUUUGGUUAUAGUAAUUAAAAUUAAAAAUUUAAGAAAUUAAGAUUUAGUAAUACAAAAAUUAAUAACUAAUUUUGUGCCAGCAGUUGCGGUUAAACAAAAGUUAAAUUAAAUUAUUUCAGUAUAUAAUAAAUAAAUUAAAAUAAAUUAAAUAUUAAAUUAUUAGGUGAAAUUUUAAUUUAAUUAAAAUUUUAAAAUAUUUAUGAUUUAAUAAAUUUUUUUUAUAAACUAGGAUUAGAUACCCUAUUAUUAAAAAUUUAAUUUAUAAUACUAAAAUAGUAAAUAAAGUAUAUUGAAACUUAAAUAAUAUGGCGGUAUUUUAGUUCAUUUAGAGGAAUCUGUCUAGUAAUUGAUAAUCCACGAAUAAAUUUACUUAAUUUAAAAUUUUGUAUAUCAUUGUUAAAAAAAUAUUUUUAAAUAAAAAUAAUAUUUAAAAAUUAAAAAUAAAAAUUAAUUCAGAUCAAGAUGCAGAUUAUAAUUAAGUUAAAGAUGGAUUACAAUAAAAUUAUUUAAAUGAAUAAUAUUUUGUAAUUAUAUUUGAAGGUGGAUUUAAAUGUAAUUUUAAUUAGUUUAUUAAAAUGAUUAAUAAUUAAAAUAUGUACAUAUUGCCCGUCACUUUCAUUUAAAAAUUGAAAUAAGUCGUAACAAAGUAGAAGUACUGGAAAGUGUUUCUAGAAUGAU
This 771-nucleotide non-coding RNA is filed under the name Cirrochroa tyche. The record is from RNAcentral. Lineage: Eukaryota; Metazoa; Arthropoda; Insecta; Lepidoptera; Nymphalidae.